Molecule: ribosomal RNA, 374 nt
Filed under: uncultured bacterium
Lineage: Bacteria
Description: bacterial SSU rRNA
Rfam family: Bacterial small subunit ribosomal RNA
Source: RNAcentral
GUAGGGUGCGAGCGUUGUCCGGAAUUAUUGGGCGUAAAGAGCUCGUAGGCGGCCUGUUGCGUCUGCUGUGAAAGCCCGGGGCUUAACCCCGGGUCUGCAGUGGAUACGGGCAGGCUAGAGUUCGGCAGGGGAGACUGGAAUUCCUGGUGUAGCGGUGAAAUGCGCAGAUAUCAGGAGGAACACCGGUGGCGAAGGCGGGUCUCUGGGCCGAAACUGACGCUGAGGAGCGAAAGCGUGGGGAGCGAACAGGAUUAGAUACCCUGGUAGUCCACGCCGUAAACGUUGGGCGCUAGGUGUGGGGUCCCUUCCACGGGUUCCGUGCCGCAGCUAACGCAUUAAGCGCCCCGCCUGGGGAGUACGGCCGCAAGGCUAAA